RNAcentral lists this unclassified non-coding RNA (254 nucleotides) under rhizosphere metagenome. RNAcentral's name for it is "partial ribosomal RNA internal transcribed spacer region". The record is from RNAcentral.
GUAGGUGAACCUGCGGAAGGAUCAUUACCAAAUCCAAAAAAAAACUUUAUCAACACCCAAUGUGAACUGAGAGUGGUUUCGUUCCCUCCAAAAGGGCAGAAAAUUUUUAUAUAUAUAUAUAUUUUUUUUGCCGGGCGGAGGGAAUGCUUUUUUUUUUCAACCCCUUUACAACUAUACAACCAUUUCUUUUAUGCUGAAAGCAAAACAAAAAACGAAACAUGAGACAACUUUUAACGGUGGAUCUCUUGGCUCGU